UCCCAAUCGUGCAGGCUCGGGCCUUGAGUC
Molecule: non-coding RNA, 30 nt
Filed under: Homo sapiens (human)
Lineage: Eukaryota; Metazoa; Chordata; Mammalia; Primates; Hominidae
Source: RNAcentral